Molecule: ribosomal RNA, 406 nt
Filed under: uncultured bacterium
Lineage: Bacteria
Description: bacterial SSU rRNA
Rfam family: Bacterial small subunit ribosomal RNA
Source: RNAcentral
ACGGUGACGUAACGCGUAUGAAACUUGCCCCACACAGGAGGAUAGCCUUGGGAAACUGAGAGUAACCCUCCAUAGUCUUGAGUUGCCGCAUGGUAGCUUAAGUAAAACUUCGGUGGUGUGGGAUAGUCGUGCGUCCGAUUAGGUAGUUGGUAGUGUAAUGGACUACCAAGCCGACGAUCGGUAGCUGGUCUGAGAGGAUGAUCAGCCACACGGGCACUGAGACACGGGCCCGACUCCUACGGGAGGCAGCAGUAAGGAAUAUUGGACAAUGGACGGAAGUCUGAUCCAGCCAUCCCGCGUGGAGGAAUAAGGCCCUAUGGGUUGUAAACUCCUUUAGCAGGGGAAUAAAAAGGUCAUUUAUGAUCAAUUGAAGGUACCCUGAGAAUAAGCACCGGCUAACUCCGUG